CGCUGGUUCGUGUUCACUCACAGUGUUCAUCGCUUGGGCUCUCGCUGAUGAAGAUCGUUCUUCCUACUUCUUGACACACAGAGUUCGUUCAUUGUUCAUUGAUGUGUAUGAAGGUGCAGCCAAUGAGGGUGGUAGAGGACCGAGUAUUUGGGAUACCUUCACUCACAAAUAUCCAGGUAGAAGACAGAAGCAGUGAGGAUGUUGCAGUUGACUCGUAUCACAACUACAAGGUAUUGUCGAUUCAAAGUUUUUGUUUCUUUUGAUGUAAUUUAUCAACUAUCAUCACUAAUGAAAAGUAGCGCUGAAAGCUUAUCAGAUA
Vigna angularis (adzuki bean) is the source of this 319-nucleotide long non-coding RNA. RefSeq lists it as uncharacterized. The record is from RefSeq and is a predicted model, not a curated record. Lineage: Eukaryota; Viridiplantae; Streptophyta; Magnoliopsida; Fabales; Fabaceae. The transcript is spliced from 3 exons.